RNAcentral lists this ribosomal RNA (477 nucleotides) under uncultured bacterium. RNAcentral's name for it is "partial 16S ribosomal RNA". It matches the Rfam family "Bacterial small subunit ribosomal RNA", at positions 28 to 523 of the family's 1533-position model. The record is from RNAcentral.
GACGAACGCUGGCGGCGUGCUUAACACAUGCAAGUCGAACGGUAAGGCCCUUCGGGAUACUCGAGUGGCGAACGGGUGAGUAACACGUGGGUGAUCUGCCCUGCACUUCGGGAUAAGCCUGGGAAACUGGGUCUAAUACCGGAUAGGACCUGGGAUGCAUGUCCUGGGGUGGAAAGCGUUUGCGGUGUGGGAUGGGCCCGCGGCCUAUCAGCUUGUUGGUGGGGUGAUGGCCUACCAAGGCGACGACGGGUAGCCGGCCUGAGAGGGUGUCCGGCCACACUGGGACUGAGAUACGGCCCAGACUCCUACGGGAGGCAGCAGUGGGGAAUAUUGCACAAUGGGCGCAAGCCUGAUGCAGCGACGCCGCGUGAGGGAUGACGGCCUUCGGGUUGUAAACCUCUUUCAGCACCGACGAAGCGCAAGUGACGGUAGGUGCAGAAGAAGGACCGGCCAACUACGUGCCAGCAGCCGCCGUAA